This 429-nucleotide ribosomal RNA is filed under the name Verrucomicrobiota bacterium. RNAcentral describes it as "Verrucomicrobia bacterium partial 16S ribosomal RNA". It matches the Rfam family "Bacterial small subunit ribosomal RNA", at positions 355 to 776 of the family's 1533-position model. The record is from RNAcentral. Lineage: Bacteria; Pseudomonadati; Verrucomicrobiota.
UAGGGAAUCUUCCGCAAUGGACGAAAGUCUGACGGAGCAACGCCGCGUGAGUGAAGAAGGAUUUCGGUUCGUAAAACUCUGUUGUUAGGGAAGAAAAAAUGUAUAGUAACUAUAUACAAAAGAGACGGUACCUAACCAGAAAGCCACGGCUAACUACGUGCCAGCAGCCGCGGUAAUACGUAGGUGGCAAGCGUUGUCCGGAAUUAUUGGGCGUAAAGCGCGCGCAGGUGGUUUAGAAAGUCUGAUGUGAAAGCCCACGGCUCAACCGUGGAGGGUCAUUGGAAACUAAUAAACUUGAGUGCAGGAGAGAAAAGUGGAAUUCCUAGUGUAGCGGUGAAAUGCGUAGAGAUUAGGAGGAACACCGGUGGCGAAAGCGGCUUUUUGGCCUGCAACUGACGCUAAAGCUCGAAGGUGCGGGUAUCGAACAGG